AUACGGAGGAUCCAAGCGUUAUCCGGAUUUAUUGGGUUUAAAGGGUACGUAGGCGGACUUAUAAGUCAGUGGUGAAAUUCUGCAGCUUAACUGUAGCAUUGCCAUUGAUACUGUUUGUCUUGAGUAUAGUUGAGGUAGGCGGAAUGUAGUGUGUAGCGGUGAAAUGCAUAGAUAUACUACGGAACACCGAUUGCGAAGGCAGCUUACUAAACUAUUACUGACGCUGAGGUACGAAAGCGUGGGGAGCAAACAGGAUUAGAUACCCUGGUAGUCCACGCCGUAAACUAUGAUUACUAGUUGUUUGCGAUAUAUUGUAAGCGACUGCGCGAAAGCAUUAAGUAAUCCACCUGGGGAGUACGUUGGCAACAAUGAAACUCAAAGGAAUUGACGGGG
RNAcentral lists this ribosomal RNA (393 nucleotides) under uncultured bacterium. RNAcentral's name for it is "partial 16S ribosomal RNA". It matches the Rfam family "Bacterial small subunit ribosomal RNA", at positions 523 to 918 of the family's 1533-position model. The record is from RNAcentral.